Molecule: long non-coding RNA, 2473 nt
Filed under: Mus musculus (house mouse)
Lineage: Eukaryota; Metazoa; Chordata; Mammalia; Rodentia; Muridae
Description: long non-coding RNA chr8:70043091-70045564
Source: RNAcentral
CGACUUCCCUUCGCCGCCCGCCUGGGUUCUCGCGACUGCACGUCUCCUGUUCACCCUACUUUCUGUCACGGACCUGACACGCGGACUUCUCGCCUCAGCCCCAGGGAAACUUACAGUAACGUUGCGUGUGCCCUUCUCUGGUCUGCCGAGACCCCAGACUCGGGUUCGCCCCCCAACCCCCGCCCGUGGCUGAGGAGCGCUCCUGGUCUCCCUCAAAGGCCUGGGCGCCGGGUGGGAACCGCAUGGGCUUUCCCAAUAAACUGCUCUCGGGCCGGUGGCAUCCACAGCGGACAGCCUGGGACAUCCCUCCUGCCCCUCCGGUCCCCUUUGGCUUGGGUCCUGCCUUGUGGGAAAUGUGCGUUUCCGAACUGCACUGGGUCAGCCAGGGCGGUUUCCCACGGUUACGGGUUUAGCUCUCCCUGUGCCCCUAGGAUGAAAUGCAUUUGCCCAUUCACCAUAUGCUUCCACACUUGCUGGGUGCCAAACGCUGUGCUAAGCUUGCGUGUCAGUGCACCUGGAAGCAAAUUUUGCAAAGAACUAGUUCUCGUGACGUGAGGUUGGAUGCUGCUAAUAUAUUGAAGGUCAGGGAAGGCUUAACAGUUUUUAAAAAUCCAUUUGUCUUUAUGUCUUUGUGUGUGAGUACCUGGAGCUGGAGUUAUAGUAGGCCACCUGGAUGUUUGCUUGGAUUCUCUGGAAGAGUGACAAGCACUCUUAACCUCUGAGCCAUCUCUCUGGCUCCAUGAAAAGUCUUUCUUGAGUACAAGAUGUUCCAUAUGAGUAGAUGCUGUCUAUAGGAAGGCAGAGGUUUCACCACAGAGGCUGGAUAGGCCUCAGAGUGGACUAGGAUUGUCUCCUUGGAGAUUGUUAUGAAUGAAAUGGAAAUAAUUAGGGGUGUCAACUCUGGUAGUGUCUAGGGAGUCAGUUUUGCUUUCAACAUUUAGAAUUUAAGGGCUGACGAGAUGGUGGUAGUUAAAAUGCUUGUUGCCCAAGAGUGAGGACCUGGCUCCCCAUCUUCAGUACUCAUGUAAAAAAGCCAGAUGUACUGUUGUGUGCCUGAAAGCACAGGACUUCGGACUGGACACAGGUGGAUUCCUGGGGUGUAUUGGCAGCCACGCACUGAAACGGGCUUUAAGGUUUUGUGAGCUGCUCUGUACCAAAAAAUUAGGCAGAGCGACAAUAGGAAUGCUUUUAAUCCCAACUCCUGAGGGGUAGGUGGACAUCUGAAUUCAAGGUCAACCAGGGCUGUGCAAACUGAGACCCUGUCUUUUUUUUUUAAGUUGGUGAGUGAUGGCCUAUGUUUUUAGUCCUAGAACUUGGGACAUUGGAAAGUGCAGGUUGGUCUCAGUGAGUUUGAGGCCAGCCUGGUCUACAGAGUGAGUGCCAGGUGUUGGAAGGUAAAGGUGGGUCUCUGAGUUUGAGGCCAGCUUGGUCUACAAAGUGAGUUCCAGGGCUAUACAGAGAAACCCUGUCUUGAGAAAAUAAAAAACAAACAAGGGGGAGAAAAAAGAAAGAGAAGAUACCUGAUGUCAACCUCUGGCUUGCACAGUGCCUAUGCACAUACAUACAAAUUUAGUGUUUAAACAUAGCAUAGUGGCACAUGUUUGUGAUCUGCACUGGAGAGUCAGAGGGAGGAGGCUUGUUUCAAGUGGAAGCCAGUCUGGUCUACAUAGGAAGAAAAUGGGCUGGUGAGAUGGCUGAGCAGUUAAGAGUACUUGCUGUUCUUGCAGAGUACCUGAUAUCUAGCAUCCACUUGUCAGCUCACAAGCAUUUAUAACUCCCAGGCAGUCACAUGGUACACAGUCACCCACCCCCAAACCUUUUAAAAAAUAUAUUUAGAUAAAUGUAGAAUUUUUCCUGAGAACCCUUAGGAUACAAUUCUAGGGUUUGUUGUUGUUUUGUUUUGAGACAGGGUCUCAGUACAUAUCUGUGGUUGGACUUGAACUUACAGAGAUCUGUCUCCUUCUGCCUCACCAACUCUGGGGUUAAAGACCCAACUACGCCCCCCCCCUUUUUUUUUAAAUGAUAGUAGACACUUUUUUUUUUAAUCUUUGAGAACAGUAGUUCUCUCUUUCUCUCUUUUUAAAAAAGAUUUAUUUAUUAUUAUAUCUAAAUACACUGUAGCUGUCUUCAGAUGCACCAGAAGAGGGCAUCAGAUCUCAUUACGGAUGGUUGUGAGCUACCAUGUGGUUGCUGGGAUUUGAACUCAGGACCUUUGGAAGAGCAGUCGGUACUCUUAACCACUGAGACAUUUCUCCAGCCCUACAGCCCUAUUUUAAUGAAGCAGAGUCUCAUUAAGCCUGUGUUUGUCUGGAAAGCAUGUACCUCCUGCCUUAGACUGGAUGACUGCUGUGUGUGUACACACAUGGCACUGGCAUUUUUGCUCAAAGCCAGUGAUUUGUUUUGGUCAUCUUGCUGUCUGUGCACUUUCUCUAUGUCAGAAUGAUCUCCCUGUCCCCAAGGUCAUAUUAAAACU